UAGGGAAUCUUCCACAAUGGACGCAAGUCUGAUGGAGCAACGCCGCGUGAGUGAAGAAGGUCUUCGGAUCGUAAAGCUCUGUUGUUGGUGAAGAAGGAUAGAGGCAGUAACUGGUCUUUAUUUGACGGUAAUCAACCAGAAAGUCACGGCUAACUACGUGCCAGCAGCCGCGGUAAUACGUAGGUGGCAAGCGUUGUCCGGAUUUAUUGGGCGUAAAGCGAGCGCAGGCGGAAUGAUAAGUCUGAUGUGAAAGCCCACGGCUCAACCGUGGAACUGCAUCGGAAACUGUCAUUCUUGAGUGCAGAAGAGGAGAGUGGAACUCCAUGUGUAGCGGUGGAAUGCGUAGAUAUAUGGAAGAACACCAGUGGCGAAGGCGGNUCUCUGGUCUGCAACUGACGCUGAGGCUCGAAAGCAUGGGUAGCGAACAGGAUUAGAUACCCUGGUAGUCCAUGCCGUAAACGAUGAGCGCUAGGUGUUGGGGACUUUCCGGUCCUCAGUGCCGCAGCAAACGCAUUAAGCGCUCCGCCU
Molecule: ribosomal RNA, 528 nt
Filed under: uncultured bacterium
Lineage: Bacteria
Description: partial 16S ribosomal RNA
Rfam family: Bacterial small subunit ribosomal RNA
Source: RNAcentral